GACGAACCGUGCGAACGUUGUUCGGAAUCACUGGGCUUAAAGGGCGCGUAGGCGGGCUCGCCAGUCAGGGGUGAAAGGCCCACGGCUCAACCGUGGAAGUGCCUUUGAUACUGCGAGUCUCGAGGGAGGUAGGGGCGUGCGGAACUUCCGGUGGAGCGGUGAAAUGCGUAGAUAUCGGAAGGAACACCGGUGGCGAAAGCGGCGCGCUGGACCUCUACCUGACACUGAGGCGCGAAAGC
RNAcentral lists this ribosomal RNA (239 nucleotides) under uncultured bacterium. RNAcentral describes it as "partial 16S ribosomal RNA". It matches the Rfam family "Bacterial small subunit ribosomal RNA", at positions 524 to 760 of the family's 1533-position model. The record is from RNAcentral.